Molecule: ribosomal RNA, 577 nt
Filed under: uncultured Streptococcus sp.
Lineage: Bacteria; Bacillati; Bacillota; Bacilli; Lactobacillales; Streptococcaceae
Description: bacterial SSU rRNA
Rfam family: Bacterial small subunit ribosomal RNA
Source: RNAcentral
UGCUGGCGGCGUGCUACCCAUGCAAUUAGAACGCUGAAGGAGGAGCUCGCUUCUCUGGAUGAGUUGCGAACGGGUGAGUAACGCGUAGGUAACCUGCCUGGUAGCGGGGGAUAACUAUUGGAAACGAUAGCUAAUACCGCAUAAUAGUAGAUGUUGCAUGACAUUUACUUAAAAGGUGCAAUUGCAUCACUACCAGAUGGACCUGCGUUGUAUUAGCUAGUUGGUGGGGUAACGGCUCACCAAGGCGACGAUACAUAGCCGACCUGAGAGGGUGAUCGGCCACACUGGGACUGAGACACGGCCCAGACUCCUACGGGAGGCAGCAGUAGGGAAUCUUCGGCAAUGGACGAAAGUCUGACCGAGCAACGCCGCGUGAGUGAAGAAGGUUUACGGAUCGUAAAGCUCUGUUGUAAGAGAAGAACGAGUGUGAGAGUGGAAAGUUCACACUGUGACGGUAUCUUACCAGAAAGGGACGGAUAACUACGUGCCAGCAGACGCGGAUAUACGUAGGUCCCGAGCGUUGUCCGGGAUUAUUGGGCGUAAAGCGAGCGCAAGCGGAUAAAUAGUAUGAAGUUCA